RNAcentral lists this ribosomal RNA (370 nucleotides) under uncultured organism. Its description in RNAcentral is "bacterial SSU rRNA". It matches the Rfam family "Bacterial small subunit ribosomal RNA", at positions 526 to 896 of the family's 1533-position model. The record is from RNAcentral.
CGUAGGGUGCAAGCGUUAAUCGGAAUUACUGGGCGUAAAGCGUGCGCAGGCGGUUGUGUAAGUCUGUCGUGAAAUCCCCGGGCUCAACCUGGGAAUUGCGAUGGAGACUGCACGGCUAGAGUGUGUCAGAGGGGGGUAGAAUUCCACGUGUAGCAGUGAAAUGCGUAGAUAUGUGGAGGAACACCGAUGGCGAAGGCAGCCCCCUGGGAUAACACUGACGCUCAUGCACGAAAGCGUGGGGAGCAAACAGGAUUAGAUACCCUGGUAGUCCACGCCCUAAACGAUGUCAACUAGUUGUCGGGUCUUAAUUGACUUGGUAACGCAGCUAACGCGUGAAGUUGACCGCCUGGGGAGUACGGUCGCAAGAUUA